This 853-nucleotide ribosomal RNA is filed under the name Penicillium terrenum. RNAcentral describes it as "LSU rRNA". It matches the Rfam family "Eukaryotic large subunit ribosomal RNA", at positions 74 to 945 of the family's 3401-position model. Lineage: Eukaryota; Fungi; Ascomycota; Eurotiomycetes; Eurotiales; Aspergillaceae. The record is from RNAcentral.
AUUGCCUCAGUAACGGCGAAGUGAAGCGGCAAGAGCUCAAAUUUGAAAGCUGGCCCCCUCGGGGUCCGCAUUGUAAUUUGCAGAGGAUGCUUCGGGAGUGGCCCCCAUCUAAGUGCUCUGGAACGGGCCGUCAUAGAGGGUGAGAAUCCCGUAUGGGAUGGGGUGUCCGCGACCAUGUGAAGCUCCUUCAACGAGUCGAGUUGUUUGGGAAUGCAGCUCUAAAUGGGUGGUAAAUUUCAUCUAAAGCUAAAUAUUGGCCGGAGACCGAUAGCGCACAAGUAGAGUGAUCGAAAGAUGAAAAGCACUUUGAAAAGAGAGUUAAAAAGCACGUGAAAUUGUUGAAAGGGAAGCGCUUGCGACCAGACUCGCCUACGGGGUUCAGCCGGUAUUCGUACCGGUGUACUUCCCCGUGGGCGGGCCAGCGUCGGUUUGGGCGGCCGGUCAAAGGCCCUCGGAAUGUAACGCCUCUCGGGGCGUCUUAUAGCCGAGGGUGCCAUGCGGCCAGCCCAGACCGAGGAACGCGCUUCGGCACGGACGCUGGCAUAAUGGUCGUAAGCGACCCGUCUUGAAACACGGACCAAGGAGUCUAACAUCUACGCGAGUGUUCGGGUGUCAAACCCGUGCGCGCAGUGAAAGCGAACGGAGGUGGGAACCCUCACGGGUGCACCAUCGACCGAUCCUGAUGUCUUCGGAUGGAUUUGAGUAAGAGCGUAGCUGUUGGGACCCGAAAGAUGGUGAACUAUGCCUGAAUAGGGCGAAGCCAGAGGAAACUCUGGUGGAGGCUCGCAGCGGUUCUGACGUGCAAAUCGAUCGUCGAAUUUGGGUAUAGGGCGAAAGACUAAUCGAACCAUCU